Molecule: RNA transcript, 5392 nt
Organism: Homo sapiens (human)
Lineage: Eukaryota; Metazoa; Chordata; Mammalia; Primates; Hominidae
Gene: COMMD10
Gene name: COMM domain containing 10
Exons: 7
Source: RefSeq, marked validated
UCUACAGUCACGGUGGUCCACCUGUGGGGCUCACAGUGCGCCUGGCAGCUGAGGUCUGUACGGAAGCGUGUGGUCUGCAAGCGUGGGGUCUGCGUCACUGUUCGCGGAGUUUGGUAUCAGAAGUUCCCGGGUGCUGCCUUCAGUGCUGCCGAAUCACGUGGAACGCAUGAAGAAAGCAGUGUCACUGAUAAAUGCAAUAGAUACAGGAAGAUUUCCACGGUUGCUCACUCGGAUUCUUCAAAAACUUCACCUGAAGGCUGAGAGCAGUUUCAGUGAAGAAGAGGAAGAAAAACUUCAAGCGGCAUUUUCUCUAGAGAAACAAGAUCUUCACCUAGUUCUUGAAACAAUAUCAUUUAUUUUAGAACAGGCAGUGUAUCACAAUGUGAAGCCAGCAGCUUUGCAGCAGCAAUUAGAGAACAUUCAUCUUAGACAAGACAAAGCUGAAGCAUUUGUCAAUACGUGGUCUUCUAUGGGUCAAGAAACAGUUGAAAAGUUCCGGCAGAGAAUUCUGGCUCCCUGUAAGCUAGAGACCGUUGGAUGGCAGCUUAACCUUCAGAUGGCUCACUCUGCUCAAGCAAAACUAAAAUCUCCUCAAGCUGUGUUACAACUCGGAGUGAACAAUGAAGAUUCAAAGUGUCUGCAAGUUCUUUUCCCAUUAGUCUUCUCUGUACCAACCAGCAAGAACUCUGACCCUGGAUGAAUGUUACCUGACUUUACUGCCAUCAAGCAUUUUUGGAGAAAAUAACACAUUGGGCUAAUGGUUACCUAUGAUUUCCUGAGGUCUGGGUUCGACCCCUUUUAAUCAUCUGAGGAAUUUUUCUUUCCUCCAUCUUCAUUAUCUUUCUCCCUGUAGACUUUUUACUGUCAACGUUUAAACAUGUUCAAAUAAAUCCAAGCAUCGAAUGAAGGUUCUAUCCUUUAACUGGGAAACACUCUCUGCCUUCCUCAACUCCUCCCACCUAACUGUUCAGUUAUCAGAUGUGAUCUUCUGAAGGAGGUUUACCUUGACCUGAACUGGCUGAGUUCUCCUACUUCAUACCUUCUCUUCACAGCACUUGUCACAUUUGUAAUAAUGUAUUUGUCAUUCUCCCUGUGCCUUUUAAUGUUGGCUUCUAGAGAUUAGGGAUCCCACUGGUUAUAGGACUGGAGAGGGGAGCUCAAGAAAUAUUUGUUGAAGAAAUGACUGAAUAAAUUAACAACUGUAGCUUUUCCCAGUUCAGUGCAUCAGUUGUGUCCUUGGCCUUAUUGGAGUUUCUCUUCCUUAGCAGCAUAAUGAAUUUUAAGUGGAGGAAAAACUAUUAGUGAUUCCACUAGAGUUAUUAAGCACUGUAGCCCGUAAUGCAUCAUAGGCGCACAACAUAUAUACUUUUCCAUUAUUGUCCUCUCCUUUUUGCUUUAAAAAUAACUAGAAAUAUGUAAUAAUUUCAAAUACUAGGAAGCUGAGUAUUUUGUUUCUUAUGGCACUUUUAAUCAAAUCACAUUAUUUAUUGAGUACUACUCAGUGUAUAUCCUAAAGUAAAAAAUAAUAAUAAACAAAUGAAUCAAGUUUCUAAAAAUCAAAACAAAAAACUUUAAAAACAGUAUGGGAAUACAUGUGUUCAAAAGAGACCCCAGAAAGUGUUUUCUUCCUGAAUAUAUUAGACCCUUUUCAGCUCCUAAUGCUGUAGAAUAAAUGAAGUGUUAUGAAACUUAUAAUUAGGAACUAUCUGAAAGCCAAAUGUUUAGCUAAAAUGUGUGAUAAAUUAAUGAACAUACAAAUGAAUAGAUAGCAGUGGCAGUGUAUUUGUUUUGUGAAUUUUAUUUAUAUGCAAAAUAAUAAUUGUAUAUGCAUUUAAAUAUAAUUGAAUGGUAUACAUAUGUAUAGAGAUUGCUACCAUAUUUGAUGGAUUGGUAAAUAGUAUUAGAGGUAAUUUCUGAAGAUAUUUUAGUGUAAAGAUAUUGAUGUAAAAAAAAAUUCAGCAACCUAUCUAUAUAUGGCUGUAACAAAGAAGAGUGAUUUGGACUACUGCUACAAAGUAGGUUAAAUGAUCUCUACAUUACUUCAUGCAUUAACAUUCUCUAAAUUACUUCAUAUAUUAACAUUUACAUGUAAUAUAUUUGUAGUAUAUUCUAAUUUAAAUAUCCAACGGAAAUUUGGAAAUGAAUAUAGUUUGUGUUUAACUGAGUUGAGAAAGCAUAGUAUGGUAAUUAAAUUCUUUUUUUAACCAAACAUUAUUAUAAAUAAAAUUGCUGAAUUCCAAGUAUUUAUACUUAAAUAACUUUAUGUUGUAAACAGUGUUUUUUUAAAGUACUUUCUUUAUACCUUACACUUUAUUUUAGUUAAGUUAUAGCCAUGUGUCUUGGGUAGAAUUCUGAGAGAAUAAUAAGGGACUUUACCCUGUAAUCACAGAAGCAGUUUGGUAAUAUAGGAACCAAGUGACAGCUUUUCUUUUUCAAGUAUAUAGAUUCAGAUCUGGACAGGAAUCUUUAAGGGUGACCUAAAACAUCAUUACGUCAGUUUACAACAGAAGGUUUACUCUGUUAGUUUCCAGUAACUAUAAUGGAAACUAACCUAGAUGAACAUUGGUACCUACUUUGCAGUUAGUGACUGAUUUUAUUUGACCAAUUAGUACUCAUGAUGGAGAGGAAAAUAACUUGUCUGUGACCUGUCAUGAUCAACUCCUAAGGGACAAGCUUUGAUUACCUCUUAGGUUUAUUGUUUUUGCCUUAUCAAGUCCACUUGACUUAAAGUAUGUUCUACAGGCGGAAUACACUGGGGGUGGCGGGCAUGGAAUUUUUUUUUGCUAGAAUUAGAGCUAAUAAGUUUGAUUUAGAGUAAUCAGUUUUUGCCUCUGUUCUCCCAACAAUUGUGUGAUAUUAGGAAUAUCUUUCUUGUGUUUCUUUUUAAUAGUUUUUAUUUUAUUUAAAAAAAAUGGAACACUUCACAAAUUUGUGCAGGGGCCAUGCUAAUCUUCCCUUUGUCUUUCCAAUUUUAGCAUAUAUGCUACUGAAGUAAGUGAGCACAUGGUUUUUCUCUUUCUUUCUUCUUUCUUUCUUUCUUUCUUUUCUUCUUUUUCCUUCCUUCCUUCCUUCUUUCUUUCUCUCUCUCUCUUUUUUUUUUUUGACAAGGUCUGGCUCUAUCAUCCUCCAGGUUGGAGUGCAGUGGCACGAUCUUGGCUCAGCUUCCACCUCCCGGCUCAAGCAAUCCUCCCACCUCAGCCUCCCAAGUAGCUGAGACUACAGGUGCACACCACCACACUUGACUAAUCUUUGUAUUUUUUUGUAGAGAGGGGGUUUCUCCAUGUUGCCCAGGCUAGUCGUGAACUUGUGAGUUCAAGCAGUUCACCCACCUUGGCCUUCCAUAGUUCUGGGAUUAUAGGCGUAAGCCACUGCACCCAGCCCAUAUGUUUGUUAUUAAUGAAGGUUGUGCUAUCAGACACAUAAUAUCACUGUGAAAACAACAUUUGCCACCUAAUUCCUUAAACAGUGUUCUACAAGAAUAAAAAAUUUAUUGAUGGCUCAUUGUAUGUUAGGGUUUAUUCUGAGUGCCUUAGGUUCCACUUCCCUCUGUGGAAGCCAAAGUGGGGCAGAUAGUUCCUCUCAUAACUCCUGUGACAGCUAGAGUUUGGGGCAUAUGACCUCCUGUGACAGCUAGAGUUUCCAUCAACUAGUUGGAAAUCGCUGCAUGAGACUUCACAUCUAGGAAAAGUGAUGCAAAGACAUAGCAACAGUUUAGAAUUUAUUCUUCUAGUGGUUUCCAACUCCCAGGCUCAAGCAGUCCUCCCACCUCAGCCUCUAGUGGCUAGAGCAGCAUCCAGUGUCUCAUACCAGUGGAGAUACUGGUACCAGCAGUGGUGGUGGUGCCACAUUCUCAGCAGAGGCUUCCUAGGCUGUCUUUUUUCCAGCAUGAUUUUGGUUGCAGUUCUGGCUUCCUAACCUUCUUUAGUGCCAUCUUGUUUCCCAAGUCUGUUUCUUCAGCUUCAUCAUUUUGUGUGCCAUCCGAAUUGUUUCCUACUUAACUUAACCAGAAAUCACUUCCAUUCUUUGUGACCAAGAACUGGACUAGUACAAUUCUCUUGGAAAAAUUGGCCUUAAUCCCUAGCUGUUUGGCAAUAUCUUAUUAUGAUUAAUUUUUUAUAGCCACAGCUGCCAGAACCCUAAAUUUCAGUUAACACUGUAAAGAGAAUUUAAGAAAGAGGAAAUAAGUUUAUUUAAGUCAUGACAUCAGAAGAAAACAGUAAUGAAAAUCUAAUGAACAGUACUAUUUUCAAGAAAUUGUUCAUGUAUUUUAGCAAAAUGAAAACCACUUAAAGCAUAUUUUCAGUUGUUGCUGUUUAUUAAUAUUAUCUUUAUUAUGAAAGGAGGUAAUUUGUACUAGGCAUGUACUCCUGACCUUCUGAAAAACCUCCCUUCAUUUUUCUUUGAAGAAUCUUUCCCUUUCCUGCUCUUAGAGUAGGGCUACCUCCACCAAUUCAGAGGUGAUGUAUGUGACCUAUGCCUAAGCAAUCAGCACGCUUUAUCUCCUUCAACACAGUGAUUGGUUGAGAUUGGAUGAGUAUAUAUCAGGGUACCUCCACUGAAAGAUAGCUAUUGCAGCUUCAAGCACCACAGCCUCACACAUCACAUGGAGCUGAGAAGACCAAAAUAUCAGAAAGUAGGACUGAGAGGAUGGAGGGAAAGAAACUGAGUCCUGAUGGUGUAUUUUGAGGCCUAUAUAUAUAUAUCUAGUAGAAAAUGUUAUGAAACUUUUAUAAUUAGGAACUGUUUGAAAGUUAAAUAUGCAGCUAAAAUAUAUGAUUAAUUAAUGAAUGUACAGAGGAACAGAUAGCAGUGACAGUGUAUGUUGUGGAAUUCUACUUACAUACAAAAUAAUUGUAUGUGCAUUUAAAUGCAACUAAGUGGUACACAUAUGUACAGAAAUUGCUACCAUAUUUUAUAGUUUGAUAAAUACCCAGCUAUUUUAAAAACUAUUUCUAAUCCUACAGUUUCAGUUCCAUAACCCAUUACACUGCUUUUUUGCCUAUGCCAGUUUGGGUUAGAUUUUCUGUCACUGGCAACCAAGAGUUCUCUGUUUCUUUGGAAUAUAAAUGCUAAAUCAUCUUGAGUUGGGAUUGUAAAGUCUUGCUACCAUGUUUUGAGGAAUACCUCUUAUUUAUGUUUUAGUUACAUAUAACUUUUGUACCUAAAAUAUUAACAAGGAAAGCAACUAACAACUUUAAGCUGAAAUACUAAUCCUGAAAGAUAAGAAUGAAAACUCAAACCUUAAGUUCUAUAAAACUUUGAGAUAGCUACAUGUUUACUUUCAGAAUAAUUUAAAUUGGUAGAGUACAAGUUGGGAAACAAACACUUUAAGUGAAUAUUUAAGUCAUGUAAAAUAUGUAUUUUUAAAAGUCAAAUUAAACAUAUUACCAAA